CAUAACCAGUUUUAAAACAUGUCUGACAUAUGGAGUGCACCCCAGAGGGUAAUACUCGUGAUGGGGCGACAUUUGUAAGCCAAUGUUCAGGUCAUGUCCCUUCAACAAGGACUUGAUCCUCCAAAUCAUAUUUUCCUGCUUAAAGUGUCAAGAGGUACUGUAUCUAUUGGGAAUAUUCGCAAGUUGAAUCAGAUUUAGAUCUUAAAGGGAUCUGUCACCAAGGUCUAUGUCAAAAACCUGAGAUUUUUAAGAACUGAAGUAUUGAUUGAAUUUAAGUUAACCAAGUCUACGUUUGGAAUCAUAGAUAGUGUGUUAAGGUUUAAAGACAGCUUGUUUAAGGGUCGCAGGUUCAAGCGGUUCUUUAUGCAGCCAAGUUGCAUCAAAAUUUGACAUUGCAAGUUACUGGUUUAUGUGGAAAAAAUUCCAGUGGUGAUAACAGCCAGUAAAAACAUUAUACAAACUUUUUCCCAUCCUACAGGUACCACAGAAUAAUUUAGAAUUUUCAAUUCAGUAAAUAUUCAUGGAUACUUUCAUUAAAAUUCACCACCCAAAUGAUGUAUUGUAGAGAGGCCUAAUGCUGCAAACUCUGUGUCAUGACACAACGCCAACUGCAGAUCCGCAAAAACAGGAUUCUUUAGAAGUUGUUUUUCUGCCUUGUUUAAAGCGCUAUUCAGGAAUUUGUGAUGCCUGAAAUGACAUAUCUGACAGCUAUAAGAAUAAUAUACUGCAUACAAAAUUAGCUUAUCUAAUGCCAGUACCGAGCGACCAGACAACUAAGAUUUUGUUUUUUUCCCAUUAUGUACACAGUUGCAGACUUUUAAUAAAGAUCAAUUCCUCCCUUUCUCUGUCAAUGUUCCUUGACACAAUCAGGUAUUUAUUUAACUUGCACUUCAUAAACCAUAUUGGAGCUCAAUGAUAUCACGUUUGAUAUAUUGAUGAUGGUUAUAAAAAUAACGGAGCUGUGGAACACUAUAGCGACCCACCAGAAUAUUACACAAUUGUAAGGCUGCCAGAUUUAGCUAUCCAGUUUUAGAAUACAACUUAUCUAAAUUUGCCCACUGUCAGAGCUAAAAAUAUUACGCUACUACGACGAAAAUAUCUUUUUGUCCUACUACAAAUUCUUCUUACGAAAAUAGCCAGAGCAAGGAUAAAUACAGACAGUAUUUACAAUCUAAAAUUAAAGCAAUGCUGUCUAUAAAGCCAUACACAAAGUCAUUUUCUCCCAGCAGUUUUUUUCACUUUCAUGGAGUAAGGGAGUUUUUUCUCAUGAAGGCAGUGAUUUCUUUACAAUUUUGCUGGAUUUCAUUAAGUAUUACAUAAAACAUGUGGACAAGAUAGAUGCCGUAAAGUCAGAGCUUGAGUUGUGCACUGAAAAAAAGGCAGCUAGCUUCAUCUCCAUACUGCAUCACAGAUUCUGUUCGCAGCACUCAAGACAAGAGAAAAAGGACAGGCAAUUUAAAGAAGGAAGUGGUGUGAAGAUGACACAUUUCCUGCCCAAGUCAGAGAACUCUGCAGCCUGCAGGAAUCAAUAUAUACUUGUCUACAACCAAUCAGCCAAUACACUGUGUACCAAGGUUGGCAAAAGAAGAUUGUGAACUUAAAACUCAAGACGGGGAAACUUCCAAGCAAAGAAACUUGCUUUUUAUCAGUUUGUGCUUUUCAGCAAGAUCUGAUUCUACAAUGCUGCAUUUUAUAUAAAGAAAAUGUUCAACUUUUAUUGUUUUGUCAAUUAAAUUUGCAAAAUUCAUUGUCAUAAUAUGUAUUUAUUGUUUGAAUAACUUUCAACCUUUCUAUUAUUUUAUCACUAUAUUAAGUCCACUGAAAAAAUUGUGAAAUAAAGCAACUUUUACGAU
Molecule: long non-coding RNA, 1853 nt
Organism: Saccostrea cuccullata (small rock oyster)
Lineage: Eukaryota; Metazoa; Mollusca; Bivalvia; Ostreida; Ostreidae
Exons: 3
Source: RefSeq, a predicted model, not a curated record